This 497-nucleotide ribosomal RNA is filed under the name uncultured bacterium. Its description in RNAcentral is "partial 16S ribosomal RNA". It matches the Rfam family "Bacterial small subunit ribosomal RNA", at positions 28 to 507 of the family's 1533-position model. The record is from RNAcentral.
GUUGAACGCUGGCGGCGUGCCUAAUACAUGCAAGUCGAGCGAACAGACGAGGAGCUUGCUCCUCUGACGUUAGCGGCGGACGGGUGAGUAACACGUGGAUAACCUACCUAUAAGACUGGGAUAACUUCGGGAAACCGGGGCUAAUACCGGAUAAUAUAUUGAACCGCAUGGUUCAAUAGUGAAAGACGGUUUUGCUGUCACUUAUAGAUGGAUCCGCGCCGCAUUAGCUAGUUGGUAAGGUAACGGCUUACCAAGGCGACGAUGCGUAGCCGACCUGAGAGGGUGAUCGGCCAGACGGGAACUGAGACACGGCCCAGACUCCUACGGGAGGCAGCAGUAGGGAAUCUUCCGCAAAGGGCGAAAGCCUGACGGAGCAACACCGCGUGAGUGAUGAAGGUCUUCGGAUCGUAAAACUCUGUUAUUAGGGAAGAACAAAUGUGUAAGUAACUAUGCACGUCUUGACGGUACCUAAUCAGAAAGCCACGGCUAACUGCGUG